GGUUAAGCGACUAAGCGUACACGGUGGAUGCCCUGGCAGUCAGAGGCGAUGAAGGACGUGCUAAUCUGCGAUAAGCGUCGGUAAGGUGAUAUGAACCGAUAUAACCGGCGAUUUCCGAAUGGGGAAACCCAGUGUGUUUCGACACACUAUCAUUAACUGAAUCCAUAGGUUAAUGAGGCGAACCGGGGGAACUGAAACAUCUAAGUACCCCGAGGAAAAGAAAUCAACCGAGAUUCCCCCAGUAGCGGCGAGCGAACGGGGAGGAGCCCAGAGCCUGAAUCAGUGUGUGUGUUAGUGGAAGCGUCUGGAAAGGUGCGCGAUACAGGGUGACAGCCCCGUACACAAAAAUGCACAUGCUGUGAGCUCGAUGAGUAGGGCGGGACACGUGGUAUCCUGUCUGAAUAUGGGGGGACCAUCCUCCAAGGCUAAAUACUCCUGACUGACCGAUAGUGAACCAGUACCGUGAGGGAAAGGCGAAAAGAACCCCGGCGAGGGGAGUGAAAAAGAACCUGAAACCGUGUACGUACAAGCAGUGGGAGCA
RNAcentral lists this ribosomal RNA (541 nucleotides) under Escherichia coli. Its description in RNAcentral is "partial 23S ribosomal RNA". It matches the Rfam family "Bacterial large subunit ribosomal RNA", at positions 1 to 581 of the family's 2925-position model. The record is from RNAcentral. Lineage: Bacteria; Pseudomonadati; Pseudomonadota; Gammaproteobacteria; Enterobacterales; Enterobacteriaceae.